Molecule: ribosomal RNA, 116 nt
Organism: Danio rerio (zebrafish)
Lineage: Eukaryota; Metazoa; Chordata; Actinopteri; Cypriniformes; Danionidae
Source: Ensembl
ACCAACAGCCAUAUCACCCUGUAGCCAAAGACCAGUUACGCAAUGAAGCCAGCAGGGCUGAGCUUGGUUAGUACCUGUAUAGGAGACAACAUGGGAAAACUAGGUUGCUGUUGGAA